GAUGAAGAACGUAGCAAAAUGCGAUAAGUAGUGUGAAUUGCAGAAUUCAGUGAAUCAUCGGAUCUUUGAACGCACAUUGCGCCCCUUGGUAUCCCGAGGGGCAUGCCUGUUCGAGCGUCAUUUCACCACUCAAGCCUGGCUUGGUGUUGGGCGACGUCCUCUUUGGGGACGCGCCUCGAAACGCUCGGCGGCGUGGCACCGGCUUUAAGCGUAGCAGAAUCUUUCGCUUUGGAAGUCGGGGCCCCGUCUGCCGGAAGACCUGCUCGCAAGGUUGACCUCGGAUCAGGCAGGGAUACCCGCUGAACUUAAGCAUAUCAAUAAGCGGAGGA
RNAcentral lists this unclassified non-coding RNA (329 nucleotides) under soil metagenome. RNAcentral's name for it is "partial contains 5.8S ribosomal RNA, internal transcribed spacer 2, and large subunit ribosomal RNA". The stretch from base 1 to 120 matches the Rfam family "5.8S ribosomal RNA", at positions 35 to 154 of the family's 154-position model. The record is from RNAcentral.